This 466-nucleotide ribosomal RNA is filed under the name uncultured bacterium. RNAcentral describes it as "partial 16S ribosomal RNA". It matches the Rfam family "Bacterial small subunit ribosomal RNA", at positions 28 to 505 of the family's 1533-position model. The record is from RNAcentral.
GACGAACGCUGGCGGCGUGCUUAACACAUGCAAGUCGAACGGAAAGGCCCUGCUUUUGUGGGGUGCUCGAGUGGCGAACGGGUGAGUAACACGUGAGUAACCUGCCCUUGACUUUGGGAUAACUUCAGGAAACUGGGGCUAAUACCGGAUAGGAGCUCCUGCUGCAUGGUGGGGGUUGGAAAGUUUCGGCGGUUGGGGAUGGACUCGCGGCUUAUCAGCUUGUUGGUGGGGUAGUGGCUUACCAAGGCUUUGACGGGUAGCCGGCCUGAGAGGGUGACCGGCCACAUUGGGACUGAGAUACGGCCCAGACUCCUACGGGAGGCAGCAGUGGAGAAUAUUGCACAAUGGGCGGAAGCCUGAUGCAGCAACGCCGCGUGCGGGAUGACGGCCUUCGGGUUGUAAACCGCUUUCGCCUGUGACGAAGCGUGAGUGACGGUAAUGGGUAAAGAAGCACCGGCUAACUACG